RNAcentral lists this transfer RNA (77 nucleotides) under Candidatus Gracilibacteria bacterium CG17_big_fil_post_rev_8_21_14_2_50_48_13. RNAcentral's name for it is "tRNA-Ala". It matches the Rfam family "tRNA". Rfam says of the family: Transfer RNA (tRNA) molecules are approximately 80 nucleotides in length. The record is from RNAcentral. Lineage: Bacteria; Candidatus Altimarinota.
GGGUCCAUAGCUCAGUUGGCUAGAGCGCCUCGUUUGCACCGAGGAGGUCAAGGGUUCGACUCCCUUUGGAUCCACCA